This 693-nucleotide long non-coding RNA is filed under the name Homo sapiens (human). RNAcentral's name for it is "MARCHF10 antisense RNA 1". The record is from RNAcentral. Lineage: Eukaryota; Metazoa; Chordata; Mammalia; Primates; Hominidae.
GGAGGCAGCUUUAGUCCCUGGGACCGUUUCUGUGCCCAAGGAGAGGGAGGGCAGGGGAAGGAUGGAAUUUCAUCUAGAGUAGCAGGUCCUGGUUGCCUGGUAAAUUAUGCAUCAGGACUGGGCUAGCCACUGCCUCCGUUUUCUCUGGGCUCCUGAGAUAACCUCCACCUGCCUCUAGAUUCUGUGCCAGCUGAUCGUUAUCUAUCUCAUCAACUCUUGUUCCAUCAGGAAACUGCAUCUUGGAGCAGCAGGCCUGGCUCCUGCCCAGGAGGCACCUGGCCUAGAUCUCAGCGUCACUGCGGAGUUAACCAAGGGAAGCGGCACCAGCAUCACACCCUGUUCCAGCCAACAGUCUCCAGCGUCCCUGACAGAUGUCGGGAAGUUCUUUUCCCCGUAAGAUCCCGGAGAAUGUCCUGAGGCUGCCGUGUGGAAGCUCUGGGGCCUUUCUCGUCUCCCACUGCCAGCUUAAUGAGCUGUGCUGGUAGCAACAGAUGGCGCCCCGCAGGGUCUCACUUGGAUAGCUUGGAAAGUUCCUGGACACCAGUUGGACUUGCCGCGAAAACCAUUAAUCUGGCCUUUCAGAGAAAAUCUUCAGAAGAAUGUAUUUGCAAGGUGAAUUAUGAGGAUUUAGGAUUUGCCCUCAAAUUUCUCUUUCAGGCUGCUCUUCAAAUAAAUAUUUCCCCAUCCAAAAGA